GGAGUUAGCCGGUGAUUCUUCUGCGAGUAACGUCACAGAUGUAAGGUAUUAACUUACACCCUUUCCUCCUCGCUGAAAGUGCUUUACAACCCGAAGGCCUUCUUCACACACGCGGCAUGGCUGCAUCAGGGUUUCCCCCAUUGUGCAAUAUUCCCCACUGCUGCCUCCCGUAGGAGUCUGGGCCGUGUCUCAGUCCCAGUGUGGCUGAUCAUCCUCUCAGACCAGCUAGGGAUCGUCGCCUAGGUGAGCCUUUACCUCACCUACUAGCUAAUCCCACCUGGGCUUAUCCAUCAGCGCAAGGCCCGAAGGUCCCCUGCUUUCCCCCGUAGGGCGUAUGCGGUAUUAGCAGUCGUUUCCAACUGUUAUCCCCCACAAAUGGGCAAAUUCCCAGGCAUUACUCACCCGUCCGCCGCUCGUCAUCUUCAAAGCAAGCUUUUGAAUGUUACCGCUCGACUUGCAUAUGUUAGGCCUGCCGCCAGCGUUCAAUCUGAGCCAUGAUCAAACUCUGA
This 509-nucleotide ribosomal RNA is filed under the name uncultured bacterium. RNAcentral's name for it is "partial 16S ribosomal RNA". The record is from RNAcentral.